AGCUUGCCUAGAUGAUUUUAGUGCUUGCACUAAAUGAAACUAGAUACAAGCGAGCGGCGGACGGGUGAGUAACACGUGGGUAACCUGCCCAAGAGACUGGGAUAACACCUGGAAACAGAUGCUAAUACCGGAUAACAACACUAGACGCAUGUCUAGAGUUUGAAAGAUGGUUCUGCUAUCACUCUUGGAUGGACCUGCGGUGCGUUAGCUAGUUGGUAAGGUAACGGCUUACCAAGGCAAUGAUGCAUAGCCGAGUUGAGAGACUGAUCGGCCACAUUGGGACUGAGACACGGCCCAAACUCCUACGGGAGGCAGCAGUAGGGAAUCUUCCACAAUGGACGAAAGUCUGAUGGAGCAACGCCGCGUGAGUGAAGAAGGGUUUCGGCUCGUAAAGCUCUGUUGGUAGUGAAGAAAGAUAGAGGUAGUAACUGGCCUUUAUCUGACGGUAAUUACUUAGAAAGUCACGGCUAACUACGUGCCAGCAGCCGCGGUAAUACGUAGGUGGCAAGCGUUGUCCGGAUUUAUUGGGCGUAAAGCGAGUGCAGGCGGUUCAAUAAGUCUGAUGUGAAAGCCUUCGGCUCAACCGGAGAAUUGCAUCAGAAACUGUUGAACUUGAGUGCAGAAGAGGAGAGUGGAACUCCAUGUGUAGCGGUGGAAUGCGUAGAUAUAUGGAAGAACACCAGUGGCGAAGGCGGCUCUCUGGUCUGCAACUGACGCUGAGGCUCGAAAGCAUGGGUAGCGAACAGGAUUAGAUACCCUGGUAGUCCAUGCCGUAAACGAUG
This 782-nucleotide ribosomal RNA is filed under the name uncultured bacterium. RNAcentral describes it as "bacterial SSU rRNA". It matches the Rfam family "Bacterial small subunit ribosomal RNA", at positions 56 to 811 of the family's 1533-position model. The record is from RNAcentral.